GCCAGCGUGGUGGAAAGGUUUGAGCACUGGACUAUGAUUCUAGAGACCAGGGUUCAAAUCCCAGCUUAGUCA
Non-coding RNA from Phrynosoma platyrhinos (Desert horned lizard), 72 nucleotides. NCBI's taxonomy places the organism in Eukaryota, Metazoa, Chordata, Lepidosauria, Squamata, Phrynosomatidae. The record is from the annotation of a GenBank genome assembly.